GUUGAAAUACCAGUUCCCGUACGAUCACCGAAGUUAAGCAACGUCAAGCCUGGUUAGUACCGAGAUGGGUAACCGCUUGUAAAUACUAGG
Acanthosepion pharaonis is the source of this 90-nucleotide non-coding RNA. The record is from the annotation of a GenBank genome assembly. NCBI's taxonomy places the organism in Eukaryota, Metazoa, Mollusca, Cephalopoda, Sepiida, Sepiidae.